GGAUAAUCCAAUAGGUUCAAUGAUUAAAUUAUUGAAUACAAAUUAUUCAAUUUGGAAGUUGAUGAUGGAGGACUAUCUGUUCUACAAGGAUUUCUUUGAUCCUAUUAAAUUAGGUUCUCAAAAGCCUGAAGGAACAUCUGAUGACAAUUGGGAGAAGUUACAUAGAAAAGUUGUUGGAAAUAUUAGACAAUGGGUGGAUUUUCUACAAUCAGGAGGUUAAUGAACUUGAAAUUCAAAGAAGGGCACUCAAUUGCAGAUGACUUGAGUGAUUUUCAGGAUCUGGAAAAUCAAUUAGGCACCACGAAGAUAGAACUUGAUGAUAAACUGUAGGCUUUACUUCUCUUGAGUUCUUUGCCAAAUAGUUGGGAAAAUUUGGUAGUUUCACUUAGCAACUCUGCUCCUAAUGGUGUAUUAAAUUUGCAUAUGGUCAAGGAUAGCAUUCAUAAUGAAGAGAUCAGAUGAAAGGAUAUGCGUGGAGAUACUACACUUGCACUUGUUAUAGAGAAUAGGGGUAGAAGCAAGAGCAAAGGUUCUAAGGGGCAUAGUAAAUCCAGAGGCAAAUCACAGUCAAAAGGAAAAUUUAGUUACUAUCACUGCGAGAAGGACGGUCAUAUCAAGAGAAACUGCAAGGCUUUUAGGAAGGAACAGAAAGAUGAGAAGAAUCAAAAGAAGGAUAAUAAGAAUCAAAAUAAGUCAGAUGAUGAUAACACAGCCGCUACUGUAUUUGAUGAAGAUGCUAAACUAGUAGGGCUUUCCUUUAAAGAGAUCAAUGUAACGUCAUUGUAGAUCCUUACAUUGAGUGGAUUAUUAACUCAAGAGCAUGUUAUCAUGCUAAACCUAGGAGAGAUAAUUUUUUUAUGUACAAACCGGGAAAAUUGGUAGAUUAAAGAUGGGCAAUACUAGUCAUAUUAAUAUAGUGGGAGUUGGAGAAAUAUGUGUCUAAACUAAUUUGGGUUGCACAUUAACCUUGAAAGAUGUGCGACAUAUACUAGGUUUACGCUUGAAUUUGAUGUCUCAUUCCUUGGAUUUAGAUGGUUAUCACAGCUAUAUUGGUGAUUAAAAAUGAAAAUUGACUAAAGGUUCUAUGGUGGUUACUAAAGGCAAGUCUUUCAAUGGACUAAUGAAAACUCAAAUGAAGUUGCUUUAUAGUGAGUUGAAUGCAAUUAAAGAUGAUGCUUCACUAGGCAUUGGCAAAGAAGCACUCAUUGCCUUUGCCAAAGGUAUGAAUAUAAACCCUUAUGAUAUUUGUUUAUUGG
This 1256-nucleotide unclassified non-coding RNA is filed under the name Hevea brasiliensis (rubber tree). Lineage: Eukaryota; Viridiplantae; Streptophyta; Magnoliopsida; Malpighiales; Euphorbiaceae. The record is from RNAcentral.